This 327-nucleotide ribosomal RNA is filed under the name uncultured eukaryote. RNAcentral's name for it is "partial 18S ribosomal RNA". It matches the Rfam family "Eukaryotic small subunit ribosomal RNA", at positions 1470 to 1796 of the family's 1831-position model. The record is from RNAcentral.
CCCUUAGAUGUUCUGGGCGGCACGCGCGCUACACUGAUGCGUUCAGCGAGUUUACAACCUUGGCCGGCAGGUCUGGGUAAUCUUUUGAAAGCGCAUCGUGAUUGGGAUAGAUGAUUGCAAUUAUUCAUCUUGAACGAGGAAUGCCUAGUAAUCGCAAGUCAUCAGCUUGCAAUGAUUACGUCCCUGCCCUUUGUACACACCGCCCGUCGCUCCUACCGAUUGAAUGAUCCGGUGAAUUCUCAGGACUGGCUGCGUUACCGGGAAACCGGUGCGUUUGCCGGGAAUUUGCGUAAACCUUAUCAUUUAGAGGAAGGAGAAGUCGUGACA